AAGACUAUACUUCCAGGGAUCAUUUCUACAGUUCCUUACUAGAGAAGUUUCUCUCUGUAGGGUGCAUUUGGUUGCUGGGAUCAGAAACCCAUUCAAGCUAGC
Molecule: small nucleolar RNA, 102 nt
Organism: Macaca fascicularis (crab-eating macaque)
Lineage: Eukaryota; Metazoa; Chordata; Mammalia; Primates; Cercopithecidae
Gene: U3
Rfam family: Small nucleolar RNA U3
About the family: Small nucleolar RNAs (snoRNAs) are involved in the processing and modification of rRNA in the nucleolus. There are two main classes of snoRNAs: the box C/D class, and the box H/ACA class. U3 snoRNA is a member of the box C/D class.
Source: Ensembl